This 640-nucleotide ribosomal RNA is filed under the name Bacillus safensis. RNAcentral's name for it is "bacterial SSU rRNA". It matches the Rfam family "Bacterial small subunit ribosomal RNA", at positions 103 to 729 of the family's 1533-position model. The record is from RNAcentral. Lineage: Bacteria; Bacillati; Bacillota; Bacilli; Caryophanales; Bacillaceae.
CGGGUGAGUAACACGUGGGUAACCUGCCUGUAAGACUGGGAUAACUCCGGGAAACCGGAGCUAAUACCGGAUAGUUCCUUGAACCGCAUGGUUCAAGGAUGAAAGACGGUUUCGGCUGUCACUUACAGAUGGACCCGCGGCGCAUUAGCUAGUUGGUGGGGUAAUGGCUCACCAAGGCGACGAUGCGUAGCCGACCUGAGAGGGUGAUCGGCCACACUGGGACUGAGACACGGCCCAGACUCCUACGGGAGGCAGCAGUAGGGAAUCUUCCGCAAUGGACGAAAGUCUGACGGAGCAACGCCGCGUGAGUGAUGAAGGUUUUCGGAUCGUAAAGCUCUGUUGUUAGGGAAGAACAAGUGCGAGAGUAACUGCUCGCACCUUGACGGUACCUAACCAGAAAGCCACGGCUAACUACGUGCCAGCAGCCGCGGUAAUACGUAGGUGGCAAGCGUUGUCCGGAAUUAUUGGGCGUAAAGGGCUCGCAGGCGGUUUCUUAAGUCUGAUGUGAAAGCCCCCGGCUCAACCGGGGAGGGUCAUUGGAAACUGGGAAACUUGAGUGCAGAAGAGGAGAGUGGAAUUCCACGUGUAGCGGUGAAAUGCGUAGAGAUGUGGAGGAACACCAGUGGCGAAGGCGACUCUC